Molecule: small nucleolar RNA, 140 nt
Filed under: Dasypus novemcinctus (nine-banded armadillo)
Lineage: Eukaryota; Metazoa; Chordata; Mammalia; Cingulata; Dasypodidae
Description: Small nucleolar RNA SNORA31 (ENSDNOG00000029880.1)
Rfam family: Small nucleolar RNA SNORA31
About the family: ACA31 (SNORA31) belongs to the H/ACA class of snoRNAs which are thought to guide the sites of modification of uridines to pseudouridines. ACA31 is predicted to guide the pseudouridylation of U3713 in 28S rRNA and U218 in 18S rRNA.
Source: RNAcentral
AAGCAUCUCUGACAGACCUGGAGCAGUUAAUGUCUGCUGCUAAGGUUUUCACUACAGAUGCAAGAAAAAGAAACAAAAGAAGAUCCUCACUUUUUGUCUGUCUGGUUGUGGCAGCCAAGAUUAAAUGGGGGAAUACAGGA